GACGAACGCUGGCGGCGUGCUUAACACAUGCGAGUCGAGCGGUAAGGCCCUUUCGGGGGUACGACGAGCGGCGAACGGGUGAGUAACACGUGGGUGACCUGCCCUCAGCUCUGGGAUAAGCCCGGGAAACUGGGUCUAAUACCGGAUAUGACUCCAUGACGCAUGUUGUGGGGUGGAAAGCCUUGUGCGGCUGAGGAUGGGCCCGCGGCCUAUCAGCUUGUUGGUGGGGUGAUGGCCACCAAGGCGACGACGGGUAGCCGGCCUGAGAGGGCGACCGGCCACACUGGGACUGAGAUACGGCCCAGACUCCUACGGGAGGCAGCAGUGGGGAAUCUUGCGCAAUGGGCGAAAGCCUGACGCAGCGACGCCGCGUGAGGGAUGACGGCC
This 387-nucleotide ribosomal RNA is filed under the name uncultured bacterium. RNAcentral describes it as "bacterial SSU rRNA". It matches the Rfam family "Bacterial small subunit ribosomal RNA", at positions 28 to 416 of the family's 1533-position model. The record is from RNAcentral.